AACAGAACCACAGGGUCACCAACGGAACCACAUAACAGAAGAACCAGGUCACCAACAGAACCACAGAGUGACCAACAGAACCACAGAGUGACAAACAGAACCACCAGGUCACCAACAGAACCACAGAGUGACCAACAGAACCACCAGGUCACCAACAGAACCACAGAGUGACCAACAGAACCACAGAGUGACAAACAGAACCACCAGGUCGCCAACAGAACCACAGAGUGACCAACAGAACCACCAGGUCACCAACAGAACCACAGAGUGACCAACAGAACCACAGAGUGACAAACAGAACCACCAGGUCGCCAACAGAACCACAGAGUGACAAACAGAACCACCAGGUCACCAACAGAACCACAGAGUGACCAACAGAACCACAGAGAGACCAACAGAACCACCAGGUCACCAACAGAACCACAGAGUGACCAACAGAACCACCAGGUCACCAACAGAACCACAGAGUGACCAACAGAACCACAGAGUGACCAACAGAACCACCAGGUCACCAACAGAACCACAGAGAGACCAACAGAACCACCAGGUCACCAACAGAACCACAGAGUGACCAACAGAACCACCAGGUCACCAACAGAACCGCCAGGUCACCAACAGAACCACCAGGUCACCAACAGAACCAGAGAGUGACAAACAGAACCACCAGGUCACCAACAGAACCACAGAGUGACCAACAGAACCACAGAGUGACCAACAGAACCACCAGGUCACCAACAGAACCACAGAGUGACCAACAGAACCACCAGGUCACCAACAGAACCACAGAGUGACCAACAGAACCACAGAGUGACAAACAGAACCACCAGGUCACCAACAGAACCACCAGGUCACCAACAGAACCGCCAGGUCACCAACAGAACCACAGAGUGACCAACAGAACCACAGAGUGACAAACAGAACCACCAGGUCACCAACAGAACCACAGAGUGACCAACAGAACCACAGAAUGACCAACAGAACCACCAGGUCACCAACAGAACCACAGAGUGACCAACAGAACCACCAGGUCACCAACAGAACCACAGAGUGACCAACAGAACCACAGAAUGACCAACAGAACCACAGAGUGACCAACAGAACCACCAGGUCACCAACAGAACCACCAGGUCACCAACAGAACCGCCAGGUCACCAACAGAACCACAGAGUGACCAACAGAACCACAGAGUGACAAACAGAACCACCAGGUCACCAACAGAACCACAGAGUGACCAACAGAACCACAGAAUGACCAACAGAACCACCAGGUCACCAACAGAACCACAGAGUGACCAACAGAACCACCAGGUCACCAACAGAACCACAGAGUGACCAACAGAACCACAGAGUGACCAACAGAACCACCAGGUCACCAACAGAACCACAGAGUGACCAACAGAACCACCAGGUCACCAACAGAUCCACAGAGUGACCAACAGAACCACAGAGUGACCAACAGAACCACCAGGUCACCAACAGAACCACAGAGUGACCAACAGAACCACCAGGUCACCAACAGAACCACAGAGUGACCAACAGAACCACAGAGUGACAAACAGAACCACCAGGUCGCCAACAGAACCACAGAGUGACCAACAGAACCACAGAGAGACCAACAGAACCACCAGGUCACCAACAGAACCACAGAGAGACCAACAGAACCACCAGGUCACCAACAGAACCACAGAGUGACCAACAGAACCACAGAGUGACCAACAGAACCACCAGGUCACCAACAGAACCACAGAGAGACCAACAGAACCACCAGGUCACCAACAGAACCACAGAGAGACCAACAGAACCACCAGGUCACCAACAGAACCACAGAGUGACCAACAGAACCACAGAGAGACCAACAGAACCACAGAGUGACCAACAGAACCACAGAGUGACCAACAGAACCACCAGGUCACCAACAGAACCACAGAGUGACCAACAGAACCACAGAAUGACCAACAGAACCACCAGGUCACCAACAGAACCACAGAGUGACCAACAGAACCACCAGGUCACCAACAGAACCACAGAGUGACCAACAGAACCACAGAAUGACCAACAGAACCACAGAGUGACCAACAGAACCACCAGGUCACCAACAGAACCACCAGGUCACCAACAGAACCGCCAGGUCACCAACAGAACCACAGAGUGACCAACAGAACCACAGAGUGACAAACAGAACCACCAGGUCACCAACAGAACCACAGAGUGACCAACAGAACCACAGAAUGACCAACAGAACCACCAGGUCACCAACAGAACCACAGAGUGACCAACAGAACCACCAGGUCACCAACAGAUCCACAGAGUGACCAACAGAACCACAGAAUGACCAACAGAACCACAGAGAGACCAACAGAACCACCAGGUCACCAACAGAACCACAGAGUGACCAACAGAACCACAGAGUGACCAACAGAACCACCAGGUCACCAACAGAUCCACAGAGUGACCAACAGAACCACAGAA
Long non-coding RNA from Acanthochromis polyacanthus (spiny chromis), 2468 nucleotides. RefSeq lists it as uncharacterized. The transcript is spliced from 5 exons. Lineage: Eukaryota; Metazoa; Chordata; Actinopteri; Pomacentridae. The record is from RefSeq and is a predicted model, not a curated record.